Antechinus flavipes (yellow-footed antechinus) is the source of this 3384-nucleotide long non-coding RNA. RefSeq lists it as uncharacterized. The transcript has 14 exons. NCBI's taxonomy places the organism in Eukaryota, Metazoa, Chordata, Mammalia, Dasyuromorphia, Dasyuridae. The record is from RefSeq and is a predicted model, not a curated record.
GAAAGACAGGAAGGAGGGAAGAUAUAGGAAAGACAAGUGACUAAAGAAAGGCACAGAUAGAGGGAGGGCUGAGAAAGACAGGAAAGAAGAGGGGGUAAGAGAGAGGAGUAGAGAUAGAGAGAGGCCUGAGAAAGACAGGAAGGAGAGAAAAGAGAUAGAAAAAGGAGAGAAGAUAGAGGAAAGACAUGACUAAAGAAGAGCAAGAAGGGGAAGAGGGAAAACAGGCAAAAAGCAGUGGGGGUAAGAGAGAGGAGUAGCCAUAGAGGGAGGUCUGAGAAACAGGAAGGAGAGAAAAGAGAGAAGGGGGAGAGAAGGUAUAGGAAAGACUAGUGACUAAAGAAAGGCACAGAUAGAGGGAGGUCUGAGAAAGACAGCAAAGAGGAGGGGGUAAGAGAGAGGAGUAGAGAUAGACAGAGGGCUGAGAAAGACAGGAAGGAGAGGAAAGACAUGACUAAAGAAGAAGAGCAAGAAGGGAAAGGGGGGGCAGAGGGAAAAUAGGCAAAAAGCACUGGGGGUAAGAGAGGAGUAGCCAUAGAGGAAGGCCUGAGAAAGACAGGAAGGAGAGAAAAGAGAUAGAAAAAGGAGAGAAGAUAGAGGAAAGACAUGACUAAAGAAGAGCAAGAAGGGGAAGAGGGAAAACAGGCAAAAAGCAGUGGGGGUAAGAGAGAGGAGUAGCCAUAGAGGGAGGUCUGAGAAAGACAGGAAGGAGAGAAGGUAUAGGAAAGACUAGUGACUAAAGAAGGACACAGAUACAGGGAGGUCUGAGAAAGACAGGAAAGAGGAGGGGGUAAGAGAGGAGUAGAGAUAGAGAGAGGGCUGAGAAAGACAGGAAGGAGAGAAAAGAGAUAGAAAAAGGAGAGAAGAUAGAGGAAAGACAUGACUAAAGAAGAGCAAGAAGGGGAAGAGGGAAAACAGGCAAAAAGCAGUGGGGGUAAGAGAGAGGAGUAGCCAUAGAGGGAGGUCUGAGAAAGACAGGAAGGAGAGAAGGUAUAGGAAAGACUAGUGACUAAAGAAGGACACAGAUACAGGGAGGUCUGAGAAACAGGAAGGAGAGAAAAGAGAGAAGGGGGAGAGAAGGUAUAGGAAAGACUAGUGACUAAAGAAAGGCACAGAUAGAGGGAGGUCUGAGAAAGACAGCAAAGAGGAGGGGGUAAGAGAGAGGAGUAGAGAUAGACAGAGGGCUGAGAAAGACAGGAAGGAGAGGAAAGACAUGACUAAAGAAGAAGAGCAAGAAGGGAAAGGGGGGGCAGAGGGAAAAUAGGCAAAAAGCACUGGGGGUAAGAGAGGAGUAGCCAUAGAGGAAGGGCUGAGAAAGACAGGAAGGAGAGAAAAGAGAUAGAAAAAGGAGAGAAGAUAGAGGAAAGACAUGACUAAAGAAGAGCAAGAAGGGGAAGAGGGAAAACAGGCAAAAAGCAGUGGGGGUAAGAGAGAGGAGUAGCCAUAGAGGGAGGUCUGAGAAAGACAGGAAGGAGAGAAGGUAUAGGAAAGACUAGUGACUAAAGAAGGACACAGAUACAGGGAGGUCUGAGAAAGACAGGAAAGAGGAGGGGGUAAGAGAGGAGUAGAGAUAGAGAGAGGGCUGAGAAAGACAGGAAGGAGAGAAAAGAGAUAGAAAAAGGAGAGAAGAUAGAGGAAAGACAAGUGACUAAAGAAGAGCAAGAAGGGAAAGAGGAGGGGAGAAGAGGGAAAAUAGAAGGCAAAAUAAGGAGAGAAUGAGGUGGGAAGAAAGAGGAAGAGAAAAGGGCAAAAAACAGUGGGGGCUAAGAGAGAGGAGUAGCCAUAGAGGGAGGUCUGAGAAACAGGAAGGAGAGAAAAGAGAGAAGGGGGAGAUAAGGUAUAGGAAAGACUAGUGACUAAAGAAGAACAAGAAGGGGAAGAGGGAAAACAGGCAAAAAGCAGUGGGGGUAAGAGAGGAAUAGCCAUAGAGAAAGGGCUGAAAAAGACAGGAAGGAGAGAAAAGAGAAAAAGGAGAGAAGGUAUAGGAAAGACAAGUGACUAAAGAAGAGCAAGAAGGGAAAGAGGAGGGGGGCAGAGAAAAUAGGCAAAAAUCAGUGGGGGUAAGAGAGAGGAGUAGCCAUAGAGGGAGGUCUGCGAAAGACAGGAAGGAGAGACAAGAGAUAGAAGGAGGAGAGAAGGUAUAGGAAAGACUAGUGACUAAAGAAAGGCACAGAUAGAGGGAGGGCUGAGAAAGACAGGAAGGAGAGAAAAGAGAUAGAAAAAGGAGAGAAGAUAGAGGAAAGACAUGACUAAAGAAGAGCAAGAAGGGGAAGAGGGAAAACAGGCAAAAAGCAGUGGGGGUAAGAGGAGUAGCCAUAGAGGAAGGGCUGAGAAAGACAGGAAGGAGAGAAAAGAGAGAAGGGGGACAGAAGGUAUAGGAAAGACUAGUGACUAAAGAAGGACACAGAUACAGGGAGGGCUGAGAAAGACAGGAAAGAGGAGGGGGUAAGAGAGAGGAGUAGAGAUAGAGAAAGGGCUGAAAAAGACAGGAAGGAGAGAAAAGAGAUAGAAAAAGGAGAGAAGAUAUAGGAAAGACAUGACUAAAGAAGAGCAAGAGAAGAGGGAAAACAGGCAAAAAGCAGUGAGGGUAAGAGAGAGGAGUAGAGAUAGAGGGAGGGCUGAGAAAGACAGGAAGGAGAGAAAAGAGAGAAGGGGGACAGAAGGUAUAGGAAAGACUAGUGACUAAAGAAGGACACAGAUACAGGGAGGUCUGAGAAAGACAGGAAAGAGGAGGGAGUAAGAGAGAGGAGUAGAGAUAGAGAGAGGCCUGAGAAAGACAGGAAGGAGAGAAAAGAGAAAAAGGAGAGAAGGUAUAGGAAAGACAAGUGACUAAAGGAGGGGGCAGAGAAAAUAGGCAAAAAUCAGUGGGGGUAAGAGAGGAGUAGAGAUAGAGGGAGGAGAAAAGAUAUAAGAAAGACUAGAGACUAAAGAAGGGGAAGAGGGAAAAUAGAAGGCAAAAUGAGGAGAGAACGAGGUGGGACAGAAAGGGGAAGGGAAAACGGCAAAAAGCAUUGGGGGGUAAGAGGGAGGAGUAGCCAUAGAGGGAGGGCUGAAAAAGACAGGAAGGAGAGAAAAGAGAGAAGGGGGAGAGAAGGUAUAGGAAAGACUAGUGACUAAAGAAGGACACAGAUACAGGGAGGUCUGAGAAAGACAGGAAAGAGGAGGGGGUAAGAGAGGAGUAGAGAUAGAGAGAGGGCUGAGAAAGCAGGAAGGAGAGAAAAAACAUAGAAAAAGGAGAGUAGAGGAAAGACAUGACUAAAGAAGAGCAAGAAGGGAAAGGGGGGGGGGAGAGGGAAAACAGGCAAAAAGCAGUGGGGGUAAGAGAGGAGUAGCCAUAGAGGAAGGUCUGAGAAAGACAGGAAGGAGAGAAAAGAGAUAGAAAAAGGA